GAUGAACGCUGGCGGCGUGCUUAACACAUGCAAGUCGAACGGAAAGGCCCAAGCUUGCUUGGGUACUCGAGUGGCGAACGGGUGAGUAACACGUGGGUGAUCUGCCCUGCACUUCGGGAUAAGCCUGGGAAACUGGGUCUAAUACCGGAUAGGACCACAUUUUGGAUGGUGUGGUGGAAAGUUUUUCGGUGUGGGAUGAGCUCGCGGCCUAUCAGCUUGUUGGUGGGGUAAUGGCCUACCAAGGCGUCGACGGGUAGCCGGCCUGAGAGGGUGUACGGCCACAUUGGGACUGAGAUACGGCCCAGAGUCCUACGGGAGGCAGCAGUGGGGAAUAUUGCACAAUGGGCGCAAGCCUGAUGCAGCGACGCCGCGUGGGGGAUGACGGCCUUCGGGUUGUAAACUCCUUUCGCUAGGGACGAAGCGUUUUUGUGACGGUACCUGGAGAAGAAGCACCGGCUAACUACGUG
This 467-nucleotide ribosomal RNA is filed under the name uncultured bacterium. RNAcentral's name for it is "partial 16S ribosomal RNA". It matches the Rfam family "Bacterial small subunit ribosomal RNA", at positions 28 to 507 of the family's 1533-position model. The record is from RNAcentral.